RNAcentral lists this microRNA precursor (123 nucleotides) under Nannospalax galili (Upper Galilee mountains blind mole rat). RNAcentral describes it as "miRNA (ENSNGAG00000005787.1)". The record is from RNAcentral. Lineage: Eukaryota; Metazoa; Chordata; Mammalia; Rodentia; Spalacidae.
UCUCCCUGUAGCCCCAGCUGUCCUGGAACUCACUAUGUAGACCAGGCUGGCCUUGAACUCACAAAGAUCCACCAGCCUCUGCCUCCCAAGUGCUGGAAUUAAAGGUGUGCACCACCAUGCCCG